GGGGAUGACAGGUUUCGACAGGGACGGCUGUCCGUGAGCUGCAAGCCGAGGCGCCUCGCUCUCGUAAAAUGGGGCAAACAAUAACUGGCAAAACAGCCAAACUCCCGGCCUACGAAUACGCGAUGGCUGCCUAAGCAGCCUUGGGCAGGGGUGCCUUGCGCAUCCCCAGCCGGCGCUGCGUAAGCGGUCCUAGCGCAUUCCUGGCCCUGACCGCCUAACCGCGGUCACGUCCACCUUGCCCCCACCCCGAUGGGACAAGCCCUGGGCGUAAUAAAAGUCGGGGUGCUGCUUCCCCAUGUCGAUAAGGAGGCUCAAGAUCAUCGGCUGGCCUAAUGACAUCCUUGCUGGACGGGUGGUCGUUGGGCGAGAAACAACAGACCAGCUAAGCUUGUAGAAGCUUGCGGGCGAACUCUUUGGACGCGGGUUCGAUUCCCGCCAUCUCCAUGU
RNAcentral lists this transfer-messenger RNA (447 nucleotides) under Anaerolineae. Its description in RNAcentral is "JAAYEA01 sp012689325 Standard tmRNA". It matches the Rfam family "transfer-messenger RNA". Rfam says of the family: Bacterial tmRNA, also known as 10Sa RNA or SsrA, is named for its dual tRNA and mRNA-like properties. Lineage: Bacteria; Bacillati; Chloroflexota. The record is from RNAcentral. RNAcentral also lists the same sequence under 1 other name.